AGCAGUCGCCGCGGGAAUACGGAGGGAGCUAGCGUUGUUCGGAAUUACUGGGCGUAAAGCGCACGUAGGCGGCUUUGUAAGUUAGAGGUGAAAGCCUGGAGCUCAACUCCAGAAUUGCCUUUAAGACUGCAUCGCUUGAAUCCGGGAGAGGUGAGUGGAAUUCCGAGUGUAGAGGUGAAAUUCGUAGAUAUUCGGAAGAACACCAGUGGCGAAGGCGGCUCACUGGACCGGCAUUGACGCUGAGGUGCGAAAGCGUGGGGAGCAAACAGGAUUAGAUACCCCUGUAGUCCCUGUCUCUUAUAC
Molecule: ribosomal RNA, 303 nt
Filed under: uncultured bacterium
Lineage: Bacteria
Description: partial 16S ribosomal RNA
Rfam family: Bacterial small subunit ribosomal RNA
Source: RNAcentral